CCUACGGGUGGCAGCAGUCGAGAAUCAUUCACAAUGGGGGAAACCCUGAUGGAGCGACGCCGCGUGGGGGAAUGAAGGUCUGCGGAUUGUAAACCCCUGUCAUGUGGGAGCAAAUUAAAAAGAUAGUACCACAAGAGGAAGAGACGGGUAACUCUGUGCCAGCAGCCGCGGUAAUACAGAGGUCUCAAGCGUUGUUCGGAAUCACUGGGCGUAAAGUGUGCGUAGGCUGUUUCGUAAGUCGUGUGUGAAAGGCGCGGGCUCAACCCGCGGACGGCACAUGAUACUGCGAGACUAGAGUAAUGGAGGGGGAACCGGAAUUCUCGGUGUAGCAGUGAAAUGCGUAGAUAUCGAGAGGAACACUCGUGGCGAAGGCGGGUUCCUGGACAUUAACUGACGCUGAGGCACGAAGGCCAGGGGAGCGAAAGGGAUUAGAUACCCUUGUAGUC
RNAcentral lists this ribosomal RNA (446 nucleotides) under uncultured bacterium. Its description in RNAcentral is "partial 16S ribosomal RNA". It matches the Rfam family "Bacterial small subunit ribosomal RNA", at positions 338 to 795 of the family's 1533-position model. The record is from RNAcentral.